UUUGAUACAUGGUCAUUUUAU
RNAcentral lists this non-coding RNA (21 nucleotides) under Caenorhabditis elegans. The record is from RNAcentral. Lineage: Eukaryota; Metazoa; Nematoda; Chromadorea; Rhabditida; Rhabditidae.